RNAcentral lists this ribosomal RNA (406 nucleotides) under uncultured bacterium. RNAcentral describes it as "partial 16S ribosomal RNA". It matches the Rfam family "Bacterial small subunit ribosomal RNA", at positions 29 to 526 of the family's 1533-position model. The record is from RNAcentral.
AUUGAACGCUGGCGGCAGGCCUAACACAUGCAAGUCGAGCGAGCGGCGGACGGGUGCGUAAUGCCUAGGAAUCUGCCUGGUCGCGGGGGAUAACUACUGGCAACGGUGGCUAAUACCGCAUACUCUCGGCCGAACCCAUAUGGGAUUAGCUAGUAGGUGGGGUAAAGGCACACCUAGGCGACGCUCUCUAGCUGGUCUGAGAGGAUGAUCAGCCACAGUGGAACUGAGACACGGCCCAGACUGCAACGGGAGGCAGCAGUGGGGAAGAUUGCACAAUGGGCGCAAGCCUGAUGCAGACAUGCCGGGGGGAUGAAGAAGGCCUUAGGGUUGUAAAGUACUUUCAGCGGGGAGGCGUGACCCGAAGAAGAAGCACCGGCUAACUCCGUGCCAGCAGCCGCGGUAAUUC